AUUGAACGCUGGCGGCAGGCCUAACACAUGCAAGUCGAAUGGUAACAGGAAACAGCUUGCUGUUUCGCUGACGAGUGGCGGACGGGUGUGUAAUGUCUGGAAAACUGCCUGAUGGAGGGGGAUAACUACUGAAAACGGUAGCUAAUACCGCAUAACUUCGCAAGCCCAAGGUUGGGUACCUUCGGGCCUCUUGCCUUCAGAUGUGCCCAGAUGGGAUUAGCUAGUAGGUGGGGUAACGGCUCACCUAGGCGACGAUCCGUAGCUGAUCUGAGAGGAUGACCAGCCACACUGGAACUGAGACACGGUCCAGACUCCUACGGGAGGCAGCAGUGGGGAAUAUUGCACAAUGGGCGCAAGCCUGAUGCAGCAAUGCCGCGUGUAUGAAGAAGGCCUUCGGGUUGUAAAAUACUUUCAGCGGGGAGGAAGGGAGUAGAGUUAAUACCUGCGCUCAUUGACGUUACCCGCAGAAGAAGCACCGGCUAACUCCGUG
Molecule: ribosomal RNA, 490 nt
Filed under: uncultured bacterium
Lineage: Bacteria
Description: partial 16S ribosomal RNA
Rfam family: Bacterial small subunit ribosomal RNA
Source: RNAcentral